AUGAGAGAAAUCAACACAAAUUGCUUUUCUGUUGGGAAAUUAGAAAGUUAUGGGAAAAGCAAGAACCCAAUCUUCCAUGGGAAAUAGAAGAGUAUGAUGCGUCAAAUACACUUUUAGCGGCCACUAAGUCACACAGGGCUCUACUUAAUCCUCCACAUACAUCAAUCUUUCCUUACCUUUAUUGUCACUGGCAUAAAGAACAUAAUUCUUUAGGUGAUGGCAAUUCCAACAACCAGGGGUAUU
This 243-nucleotide long non-coding RNA is filed under the name Helianthus annuus (common sunflower). RNAcentral's name for it is "sRNA HanXRQr2_Chr08g0331511". The record is from RNAcentral. Lineage: Eukaryota; Viridiplantae; Streptophyta; Magnoliopsida; Asterales; Asteraceae.